Molecule: non-coding RNA, 136 nt
Organism: Drosophila mojavensis
Lineage: Eukaryota; Metazoa; Arthropoda; Insecta; Diptera; Drosophilidae
Source: Rfam
CCGUUCUUGUGUUAUUCGCUGAAUUAGCAUUAUCAUUCAGUGAUUGUCAAACAGAACGCAUAGCAAAUUCCAAUUAUCCACGUUGUUGAGCCUAUCUAUUCAAAGGCUUUUACAAUACUAAUCACUGGAUACAGCU